AAAAAACAUAUUCAAAUGAAGCAAAUUUAUCGAGUGCCUUUCGAGCGCAAUUCCGAAAGGGUGAAACGACUGCGGCAUGAUUAUGCAGAGAGAGUUUUACGAAUGGAUGGAGAGGAGAUCCAGCAUCAGUUCAUUUACGUAGAUGAGGCUGGGUUCAACCUGAAGAGAACACGAAGGAGGGGAAGAAACAUCAUUGGCCACAGGGCUAUAGUCAAUGUCCCAGGGCAACGUGGGGGUAAUAUAACACUCUGUGCAGCCAUUACACAGAAUGGGGUCCUCCACCGCCAUGCCCAUAUGGGCCCUUACAACACAGCACUCAUACUUACAUUCUUGGACCAAUUGCACAACAUAACAGCAGCAAAUCAAAUGGAUCAUAUGCAAUACAUUGUUGUCUGGGACAAUGUGUCUUUCCACCGCUCUGGUCUGGUUCAGAACUGGUUUCAGCAACAUCCACAUUUCACCGUCCUAUAUCUUCCACCAUACUCUCCAUUCCUCAACC
Molecule: long non-coding RNA, 499 nt
Organism: Oncorhynchus tshawytscha (Chinook salmon)
Lineage: Eukaryota; Metazoa; Chordata; Actinopteri; Salmoniformes; Salmonidae
Source: Ensembl